This 287-nucleotide RNase P RNA is filed under the name Aeromicrobium sp. RNAcentral's name for it is "Bacterial RNase P class A". It matches the Rfam family "Bacterial RNase P class A", at positions 99 to 367 of the family's 367-position model. Rfam says of the family: Ribonuclease P (RNase P) is a ubiquitous endoribonuclease, found in archaea, bacteria and eukarya as well as chloroplasts and mitochondria. Its best characterised activity is the generation of mature 5'-ends of tRNAs by cleaving the 5'-leader elements of precursor-tRNAs. Lineage: Bacteria; Bacillati; Actinomycetota; Actinomycetes; Propionibacteriales; Nocardioidaceae. The record is from Rfam by way of RNAcentral.
CCGCGGGAAAGUGCCACAGAGAACAGACCGCCAGCGUCCGCGCUGGUAAGGGUGAAACGGUGGAGUAAGAGCCCACCAGCGCCCGGGGUGACCCGGGCGGCUCGGCAAACCCCACCCGGAGCAAGGUCAAGAGGGAGCCCUUUCGGGGGCUCCUGCGCAGGCGGGCUGCCCGUCCGAUGCCUGCGGGUAGACCGCACGAGGCCACCGGCAACGGUGGUCCUAGAUGGAUGACCGUCCGUCCCGCUUCGGCGGUACGACAGAACCCGGCUUACAGGUUGGCUCGUCUC